GCGACCGAUCCACUUUGGAGGUUUGCCCUCCGAAGGCAAAGGUCGUACGUUCGAAUCGUAUCGGGUGCGCCA
This 72-nucleotide transfer RNA is filed under the name Dongia sedimenti. RNAcentral's name for it is "Rhodospirillaceae bacterium R-7 tRNA-Arg". Lineage: Bacteria; Pseudomonadati; Pseudomonadota; Alphaproteobacteria; Rhodospirillales; Dongiaceae. The record is from RNAcentral.